AAAAAUUUAGUUAAACCCAUAACAUUAGUAUGUCAAACUAAAAUUAUUAAUUAAAUAAUUUUUA
RNAcentral lists this transfer RNA (64 nucleotides) under Tychus niger. RNAcentral describes it as "tRNA-Asp". The record is from RNAcentral. Lineage: Eukaryota; Metazoa; Arthropoda; Insecta; Coleoptera; Staphylinidae.